Amphiprion ocellaris (clown anemonefish) is the source of this 1846-nucleotide long non-coding RNA. RefSeq lists it as uncharacterized. The transcript has 3 exons. NCBI's taxonomy places the organism in Eukaryota, Metazoa, Chordata, Actinopteri, Pomacentridae. The record is from RefSeq and is a predicted model, not a curated record.
AUUUAUGUACCUUGCUUGCAAUCGUCUCCUCCAUUUUCACACAAACAGUCUCCAGUAAAUCGGUCACAGAGGACGUUGGCUGGACAGGAGCAGGUCUGAGCACAGAACGGACCGAAGCGUCCUGAACUGCAGGCUGGAAAACACAACAUAUAUAUCACAGCUGUGCAGAAACAAGUCCCAUCGACCGGUGAGCAGUCGACAAAGUUCUUACAAGAGCACUCCAGGGAGCAGUUCUUUCCAUAGGUGCCACUUUUACAGGGACUCUCACAGUGAACGCCCUGCAGGCAAGAACAGCAAACCCCAGAUUCCACAGCCCCCAGGUAGCUAAAGUUGAGGCCUCUGUGAAGCAGGAGAACCAGCUAAAUAGAGACGCUUGUUCUUUAUGGACUCAAGUAGCAGUGAAGAGACAGCAUGAGGACUUAAAAAUUACUAUACUUGGACAAGACUAAAAAGGUGAGCGUUGUGCUUUAUUGCAGGUAUGGAAUGUAUAUUUGUGCACUCACGGUGAAAACAAACCAGUAAUGCUGGACGGAAAUGCAGCGUUUUUUCAUUUUAAGCUCAUCAUCAUCAUGUCUAGAAGUUGUAAAGUGGUAAACUGCAGGUUUCAUAAUGGGGAUGGCAGCCACUGUGGCUCAGGAGAACAUUUAAUGUGUGAAAAACAUUUAGUAGCAGGUUUAGUGCUGCCUUGAAUUAAGCUUCACAGUUAGUUCAUAGACCAAACUUCAUUUUACCUGCCUGUAUAUUCACACAUGAUGAUUUAAUAUGACUGCAGAGUUACAGUUACUUUUCCACAUUCUACCAUAAUCCGUGCAGCUGUUCUGUUUGCAGCGUGUUAUCUGCAGCAUUGUGGCCAACAGGUUUUGCUUUUAGAUUUGUCAAAUUCCAAUUAUGACUGUUCUAAUUGAAUUAAACUGAAUUUAUAUUCAGUUCCAAAAGCAGUUGGGAUUAGCCACAGUUUGACCUAUUGAAAGAGGACAGUUUAAAAAUCUGAACGCAAAGUGGUCAAUUAUUUUCCAGAACUUGUCUUCUUUUUAGACUAGCCAUCUAAAAUACACACUUGGAUUUUUAUUUCACUUUGACAUUUAUGCAAAUUAGUGCACAAGGAAUAAGACAAUCUCUCAUUUGCAAAUAAAAUUCAACACACAUAUUCAUACAUAUAAUAAUUGUAUUAAUUAACUGGGGAAGUUGUAUUUUAAUUUAUUUGAGUUAAAAUAGUAUUUUUCAAUAAGUUAUGGAAUUCUACAACACAUCUUUGAAGGACCCGUAUGGGAAACAUCCAUCUUCUUGUUUUUUGGCCUGAAAAACUAAAACCGUGCAGACAUACGACAUUUGGAUUAACUUGCUGAAAAAAUGCACAAUAUGGGACCUUUAACGGCCAGUUUUCCCCCAAUCUGAGCAGAAAUUUCCACUUCCACAUCCCUUCCAUACACCAAACUCUUUGGCUCUACAGUUUUCUAAUGUCUGGGGAACAUGACUUGUAGGCUCCUGCAUCUCUGUAGCACCACCAUGUUUCAUCUAUAAUAGUCUGUUGUGACACAUUUAUCGAGAAACUGCCACCCUUGUGAUUUGGAUAUUGCACUAGGCCAUAUUUCAAUAUUGUUUAGAUUAAUUGUUCAGCCCUUGAUAAUACUUGCCAAUGUCUUUGGUGAACUUCUAAGCAGCGGAUGAGCUGACAUCAGUAUCUGAGUCUAUUUGGUUCUGCUCAGAGUGUUGGCACCCAAACCUGGAUUUAAUCUUCCUCCUGCUGCCCAAACCUCACUAUCUUCUUCUUCUCUGCUCACCUGAGUGUGUGUGUGUCCAGACAGAGACAUGUGCGUUCACAGUGCAUGCCGUAUUUUCCGGGUGA